UCCGUGGCAGUCCAGUGGUUAAGAUUCUGCACUUCCAAUGCAGCAGGCUCGGGUUCCAUUCCAGGUCAUGGAA
RNAcentral lists this transfer RNA (73 nucleotides) under Bos taurus (domestic cattle). It matches the Rfam family "tRNA". From Rfam's summary of the family: Transfer RNA (tRNA) molecules are approximately 80 nucleotides in length. Their secondary structure includes four short double-helical elements and three loops (D, anti-codon, and T loops). RNAcentral also lists the same sequence under 3 other names. Lineage: Eukaryota; Metazoa; Chordata; Mammalia; Artiodactyla; Bovidae. The record is from Rfam by way of RNAcentral.